GAGAGGGAACAAAGUAACUUCAGUAUCAAGAGGCAGUUAUUGUGUGUAUGUAUAAUUGCAACGUCCCAAAAUAAUUUGUGUGUUUAAAAAGAUACUUUCAUUCAAAAUAUGGAAUAAAUAGUGUAUAGUUUUAGAAGUAACAUAUUUUAUAUUAUCAUUAAUUAGAAUUGUAUUGUAUAUGUGUUGUAAUUCAUUAUAUUAGGUGAAUAAUAUUAUUUUGCCAUAAAUAAUAUCGAAAAAUUUAUGUAGACAUAUUAAAAGAAAUUAUAAUAAAAUUCAAAAUAUUAUCCAUAAAUAAUAUAAAUUAUGAAGUACAAUUCUCGAUAAAGAAAACAAAAUCCAUUAGAAACCUGCAAAAAAUUAAAUAAACUUUGU
Molecule: long non-coding RNA, 375 nt
Filed under: Brassica napus (rape)
Lineage: Eukaryota; Viridiplantae; Streptophyta; Magnoliopsida; Brassicales; Brassicaceae
Description: long non-coding RNA (BNAP_LNC022579)
Source: RNAcentral